UUAUUGGUGAUUCAGUGGUAGAAUUUCCGCCUUCUAUGUAGGAGACUUGGGUUCAUUUCCCAUCCAACACG
This 71-nucleotide transfer RNA is filed under the name Loxodonta africana (African savanna elephant). It matches the Rfam family "tRNA". From Rfam's summary of the family: Transfer RNA (tRNA) molecules are approximately 80 nucleotides in length. Their secondary structure includes four short double-helical elements and three loops (D, anti-codon, and T loops). Further hydrogen bonds mediate the characteristic L-shaped molecular structure. tRNAs have two regions of fundamental functional importance: the anti-codon, which is responsible for specific mRNA codon recognition, and the 3' end, to which the tRNAs corresponding amino acid is attached (by aminoacyl-tRNA synthetases). tRNAs cope with the degeneracy of the genetic code in two manners: having more than one tRNA (with a specific anti-codon) for a particular amino acid; and 'wobble' base-pairing, i.e. permitting non-standard base-pairing at the 3rd anti-codon position. Lineage: Eukaryota; Metazoa; Chordata; Mammalia; Proboscidea; Elephantidae. The record is from Rfam by way of RNAcentral.